This 460-nucleotide ribosomal RNA is filed under the name uncultured bacterium. RNAcentral's name for it is "partial 16S ribosomal RNA". It matches the Rfam family "Bacterial small subunit ribosomal RNA", at positions 338 to 795 of the family's 1533-position model. The record is from RNAcentral.
CCUACGGGAGGCAGCAGUGAGGAAUAUUGGUCAAUGGACGAGAGUCUGAACCAGCCAAGUAGCGUGAAGGAUGACUGCCCUAUGGGUUGUAAACUUCUUUUAUAUGGGAAUAAAAUGUUCCACGUGUGGGAUUUUUUAUGUACCAUAUGAAUAAGGAUCGGCUAACUCCGCGCCAGCACCCGCGGUAAUACGGAGGAUGCGAGCGUUAUCCGGAUUUAUUGGGUUUAAAGGGAGCGUAGGUGGAUUGUUAAGUCAGUUGUGAAAGUUUCCGGCUCAACCGUAAAAUUGCAGUUGAUACUGGCAGUCUUGAGUACAGUAGAGGUGGGCGGAAUUCGUGGUGUAGCGGUGAAAUGCUGAGAUAUCACGAAGAACUCCGGUUGCGAAGGCAGCUCACUGGACUAAGACUGACACUGAGGCUCGAAAGUGUGGGUAUCAAACAGGAUUAGAUACCCCAGUAGUC